AGCCCUCUCUGUUCUACAAUAUAGCAUCUGAUUAUUACAAUUUAUACUGUUCUAGUCAUAUCAGAUGAUCUACUGAUAAGUUUUUAUUGAUUAAAUCUUGUCAAAAGCUAAUUUGACUGUGAAUUAAUGGCUCUUGUGGUUGCUAAUUGUUGCUAGCUUCUACUUCUCAUUAUCAAAGUAUAUAUCUGACUUGCAAUUGUUCAAACUUUUUUUCUGAUAGCCUCUCUGCAGAUAAUCUUGCUUCUGUUGAGAAGAUCAUCUUCAACAAUGUUGUAAGAAUUAGAUGCAAUGAAAAUAAUAU
Molecule: small RNA, 301 nt
Filed under: Histoplasma capsulatum
Lineage: Eukaryota; Fungi; Ascomycota; Eurotiomycetes; Onygenales; Ajellomycetaceae
Also listed under: 1 other name
Description: hypothetical RNA
Source: RNAcentral